UAACACUAACUGGAGGACCGAACCGACUAAUGUUGAAAAAUUAGCGGAUGACCUGUGGCUGGGGGUGAAAGGCCAAUCAAACCGGGAGAUAGCUGGUUCUCCCCGAAAGCUAUUUAGGUAGCGCCUCGUGAAUUCAUCUCCGGGGGUAGAGCACUGUUUCGGCUAGGGGGCCAUCCCGGCUUACCAACCCGAUGCAAACUGCGAAUACCGGAGAAUGUUAUCACGGGAGACACACGGCGGGUGCUAACGUCCGUCGUGAAGAGGGAAACAACCCAGACCGCCAGCUAAGGUCCCAAAGUCAUGGUUAAGUGGGAAACGAUGUGGGAAGGCCCAGACAGCCAGGAUGUUGGCUUAGAAGCAGCCAUCAUUUAAAGAAAGCGUAAUAGCUCACUGGUCGAGUCGGCCUGCGCGGAAGAUGUAACGGGGCUAAACCAUGCACCGAAGCUGCGGCAGCGACACUGUGUGUUGUUGGGUAGGGGAGCGUUCUGUAAGCCUGUGAAGGUGUGUCGUGAGGC
Molecule: ribosomal RNA, 515 nt
Filed under: Salmonella enterica
Lineage: Bacteria; Pseudomonadati; Pseudomonadota; Gammaproteobacteria; Enterobacterales; Enterobacteriaceae
Also listed under: 1 other name
Description: partial 23S ribosomal RNA
Rfam family: Bacterial large subunit ribosomal RNA
Source: RNAcentral